Molecule: unclassified non-coding RNA, 227 nt
Filed under: uncultured fungus
Lineage: Eukaryota; Fungi
Description: partial contains 5.8S ribosomal RNA, internal transcribed spacer 2, and large subunit ribosomal RNA
Rfam family: 5.8S ribosomal RNA (bases 1-52)
Source: RNAcentral
AACGCACCUUGCGCCCUUUGGUAUUCCAGAGGGCAUGCCUGUUUGAGUGUCUUGAAAACUCAUCCUAAUCGGGUCUUCCUGUAUUAGUGAUGGAUUGGGUGUUGCCGUUUGGCUCGCCUUAAAAACAUAAGGAUUGUCCGAUGUAAUACGUUUCAUCUACGACUCUCCUGAUAAAACCCAUCUUUCAUUCUGACCUCAAAUCAGGUAGGGCUACCCGCUGAACUUAA